GCGAGUUUGGCCGAGUGGUUAUGGCGUGACGUUUAGGCCGUCAUGGGUACGCCCGCGCGCGUUCGAAUCGCGUAGCUCGCA
This 81-nucleotide transfer RNA is filed under the name Penicillium oxalicum 114-2. Its description in RNAcentral is "tRNA-Leu (TAG) (tRNA-Leu-TAG-1-1)". It matches the Rfam family "tRNA". From Rfam's summary of the family: Transfer RNA (tRNA) molecules are approximately 80 nucleotides in length. Their secondary structure includes four short double-helical elements and three loops (D, anti-codon, and T loops). RNAcentral also lists the same sequence under 1 other name. Lineage: Eukaryota; Fungi; Ascomycota; Eurotiomycetes; Eurotiales; Aspergillaceae. The record is from RNAcentral.